ACAAUAAUCCACACUCGUGUUGACCUUUUCUCUUCUUCUUCUUCUCGUUUAUGUGAGGAGAAGGGAGAGAGAGAGGGUCGUUACAACAACACAAAAUACAACACUUACAAUUAACAUUGACAACCAUUAAGGGAGGAGAGAACAAAUGAAUUAAAGAUGUAUAAA
RNAcentral lists this unclassified non-coding RNA (165 nucleotides) under uncultured fungus. RNAcentral describes it as "sequence contains ITS1, 5.8S rRNA gene". The record is from RNAcentral. Lineage: Eukaryota; Fungi.